This 1276-nucleotide ribosomal RNA is filed under the name Escherichia coli. RNAcentral's name for it is "partial 23S ribosomal RNA". It matches the Rfam family "Bacterial large subunit ribosomal RNA", at positions 1 to 1317 of the family's 2925-position model. Lineage: Bacteria; Pseudomonadati; Pseudomonadota; Gammaproteobacteria; Enterobacterales; Enterobacteriaceae. The record is from RNAcentral.
GGUUAAGCGACUAAGCGUACACGGUGGAUGCCCUGGCAGUCAGAGGCGAUGAAGGACGUGCUAAUCUGCGAUAAGCGUCGGUAAGGUGAUAUGAACCGUUAUAACCGGCGAUUUCCGAAUGGGGAAACCCAGUGUGAUUCGUCACACUAUCAUUAACUGAAUCCAUAGGUUAAUGAGGCGAACCGGGGGAACUGAAACAUCUAAGUACCCCGAGGAAAAGAAAUCAACCGAGAUUCCCCCAGUAGCGGCGAGCGAACGGGGAGCAGCCCAGAGCCUGAAUCAGUGUGUGUGUUAGUGGAAGCGUCUGGAAAGGCGCGCGAUACAGGGUGACAGCCCCGUACACAAAAAUGCACAUGCUGUGAGCUCGAUGAGUAGGGCGGGACACGUGGUAUCCUGUCUGAAUAUGGGGGGACCAUCCUCCAAGGCUAAAUACUCCUGACUGACCGAUAGUGAACCAGUACCGUGAGGGAAAGGCGAAAAGAACCCCGGCGAGGGGAGUGAAAAAGAACCUGAAACCGUGUACGUACAAGCAGUGGGAGCCUCUUUAUGGGGUGACUGCGUACCUUUUGUAUAAUGGGUCAGCGACUUAUAUUCUGUAGCAAGGUUAACCGAAUAGGGGAGCCGAAGGGAAACCGAGUCUUAACUGGGCGUUAAGUUGCAGGGUAUAGACCCGAAACCCGGUGAUCUAGCCAUGGGCAGGUUGAAGGUUGGGUAACACUAACUGGAGGACCGAACCGACUAAUGUUGAAAAAUUAGCGGAUGACUUGUGGCUGGGGGUGAAAGGCCAAUCAAACCGGGAGAUAGCUGGUUCUCCCCGAAAGCUAUUUAGGUAGCGCCUCGUGAAUUCAUCUCCGGGGGUAGAGCACUGUUUCGGCAAGGGGGUCAUCCCGACUUACCAACCCGAUGCAAACUGCGAAUACCGGAGAAUGUUAUCACGGGAGACACACGGCGGGUGCUAACGUCCGUCGUGAAGAGGGAAACAACCCAGACCGCCAGCUAAGGUCCCAAAGUCAUGGUUAAGUGGGAAACGAUGUGGGAAGGCCCAGACAGCCAGGAUGUUGGCUUAGAAGCAGCCAUCAUUUAAAGAAAGCGUAAUAGCUCACUGGUCGAGUCGGCCUGCGCGGAAGAUGUAACGGGGCUAAACCAUGCACCGAAGCUGCGGCAGCGACGCUUAUGCGUUGUUGGGUAGGGGAGCGUUCUGUAAGCCUGCGAAGGUGUACUGUGAGGUAUGCUGGAGGUAUCAGAAGUGCGAAUGCUGACAUAAGUAACGAUAAAG